AACGAACGCUGGCGGCAGGCCUAACACAUGCAAGUCGAGCGGCCUUGCGGGGCUGCGGCGGACGGGUGGGUAGCGCGAGGGGAUAUGCACAUCUCUACGGAAUAGCCUCGGGAAACUGAGAGCAAUACCAAAUACGCCCUAUGGCGGGACGGGUUAUCGGGGAAGGAGUAGCCCGCGUGGGAUUAGGGUGGUGGUGGGGUGAUGGCAUACCAAGCCAGCGAUCCGUAGCUGGUUUGAGAGGAUGAGCCGCCACACCGGGACUGAGACCCGGCCCAGACCCCGACGGAAGGCAGGAGAGUGUAAUCUUAGACAAUGGGGCCAAAUCUGACCUCGCCAUGCCGCGUGAGUGAUGAAGGCGUUAGUGUUGUAAAUCUGUUUCAGCCGGGGAGAGAAUGACGGUACCAGCAGAAGAAGCCCCGGCUAACUCCGUG
RNAcentral lists this ribosomal RNA (431 nucleotides) under uncultured bacterium. RNAcentral's name for it is "partial 16S ribosomal RNA". It matches the Rfam family "Bacterial small subunit ribosomal RNA", at positions 29 to 507 of the family's 1533-position model. The record is from RNAcentral.